AUGUAAUUUCAUUCAAUAUCAUUCUUUACAACAAUGAAUAAAGAAUCAUAACUCACAAUUUGUAGUAAGGUACAAUGAAACAAAUGUAGCAAGUAGACGACACAAUGAAACCAAGUGUUUAGGCUUUUAGGGAUCAUUACCAUAUUCCCCCACCAAUUUGAUUUUCCUUCUAUGAGGAAUUCAAAUUAGCUAGAUUUAGCACCAUUUCUAUGGAAGGAUGAUAGAAUAUCAUGUGCUAUUAAUUGGAUCUAUUCAAAGGCCAGAAGUGAAAGGAACGUUGGUAGAUGGUAACCAGGAAUUGCCGGAGAUGAAGUUACCAGUCAUGAACUUUGCUGCUUCAGUUGAGCUAGUAAUCACAUUUCUUGAAUAUAUUUGAGUCUUGCAAAAGUGUUUUUGAGUGCACCAUUGUUCUAAAACUUUCAUAUCUUUAGUGCACCAUUCAAUCCUAGUUUACUUGUAUCAUUUGAGCCUAAAAUUUUAUACUAAGGGUUUGUGAAAUUAUUUAUAUAUCUUUGAGAGGAAUAAUCUAAGUGUGAGGUAUCACUUAGGGAUUCUCAAGUGAGGAGUAUCACUGGAGGGGUUGUCCAAGAGUGAGGUAUCUCUUGAGAAGUGUAAAUGGUGCUUGGAGCCAAAAGUCUAAGAUGGUGGAUUGGAACCAUAAUCCAAUUGUAUUACUUGAAGGCUUGGUUUGAAGCUUUGAAUUAGUGGAACCUCAAACUUGGGGUUGAAGCUAGAAGAGAGUGGAUGUAGAUCAAGUUGCGCCGAACCAAUAUAAAAAUCUUGUAUUUGCAUUCUCUCUUCCCUACUCCUUUACUUUAUAUGCAAUUGCCUUUACAUUGUUUUAUUAUAUACUUGCAUAUAUUUGUCUCUAACAUUCACAUAGUUUAAAUUUACAAAAAGAGACUAUCACCCUAUUCACCUCCCCUUUGAGGUGAUUACCAUAAGUUGGAUUAACCUAAUUUUUCUAACAUAUAGCAUUACUUAUUCUUUAAAAACUAUUUUAUAUCAAAAUGGGAAAAAGAAAAAAGAAAAUAUUAGUAGUUACAUUUGUUUAUUUUUUAUAACAUCAAUUAAUCUUUAUUUUCAAUAAGAACUCUAAAACUCAUUAAACUAUGAAAUACAGGUAUAUACUCCUAGGAGGAUGUUAUGGAGAAUAAAAAGAAAGGAGAAAUAGGCAACAAGAUAUGAGUUUUUAGAUGUGACUCUUAUGUCAUACAUUGUAGGAUAUAAACGUUACUUUAAUUUGUAUUGAGAAUUUUGGAUUUUUUGGUGCAACUCUUGUGUCAUUUUAUGGUUAGCUGGUUUUAUGCAUAUGAAAUGCAAGUAUACAUAAAUGUUGGAAUGUUUAACAUUUCUAAAUCAUGUUUUAAUGUGUAUUCACUUUUCUUUUUAGUUUUGGUAGGUUUGAUGUGUUUAAUGUAAUGUUUUUAGAACCGGACUGAUUCUUGAACCGAAAAAGUUACCAUUUCACGGUUCACUGGUCGAACCGGUGGUUGAACUAAUGACUUCAUAAAUAUAUAAUUUAUAAAUUAUUAAAAUUUAAAAUAAUCAUAAAAAUUAAAAUAGUAAUUUAUAUAUUAUUUAAAAAUCAGAAAAUUAGUUUCAAAUUAGAAAUUAAAAUGAAAAUCAUAAUUUUAAUUUAAAAUUUAAAUUUUUAAUAUUUAUUUUUAAAUAAAAAACUUAUUUUAAAAUUAGAAAUUAAUUUAAAAUGGUAAUGUUUUUACCAUUAAAUCAUAUCUCAUACUGUCAUACAUAUAAAAGGCAUUUUUUUAUUUUUACUUUAUCAACUCCCCCUGCACAGCAUUAUUAUUGUGAAGACCCACAAACAACGACACCACUAGAGAGGGAGCAAUCUGACUGUGAGGGGUUGCCUUGCCAACAUUAACAAGUCACCACCGCUGACACCAAAGCUUCUCUUUUCGGUAAUACUCGAUUUUUGGGAAAAUCAGGUAAAUCCUAAAUUAUGUCAUCAUCCUUGAUUACUACCAAAAAGUGCUAUUUUGUAGACCUAAUUAUAAUGGUUUUAAGCACCUUUGAGUAGUAAUCAUAUUCAUUUAACCCAAUUAAUUCAUUAAGGUCCUUAGUAAUUGGUUUUAACCAUUUUGUGGCAAGUUUACAUGUUUUUAUCAGCUUAUGAAUCAAUUCAAGCAUGCCAAAUGAUGGAGGAGCUACUUGGACAAGUUAUGGAAAAGCUUUUGGAAGCUCAAAUUCAUGAAGAACCAAGCUUUGGAGCUCCAUAGCCCUUUUCCAAAGUCGUUCAAAGUAUGCAAGGAAAGAGCAAGGAGAGAGGAAAAACAGAGUGAAGAAAACAGAGGAAAGCCAGUUGCAGUCUUCUUGUGCACUUUUGGAGCACUUCCCAAGUCCAUUUUCUACAUUCUAUAUACCAUUUGAAAGCUCAGGAAGUCAAGAAUCCAAUGCUUCAAACGGUGCACGAUUCGGAGUUGAAACGAAGAAGUUACAGCCACUGCAAGUCAAUCACUCUAAAGUGUUGCGAAAUCAGCCUUUUGUUGCGAGAAUUUCGCAGCCUUUUUGUACAGUGCUAUGGAAUUCCUCCUGAAGCUACCCGAUACAUGCCGCAAGCUGGAACGCUGAGAACCUCAAGGUGGAAUCCAACUUCGUAGCGGGGCGAGUUUAACUUGUUGUUGCGAAAAUAUUUCGCAGCCCUCUUGAGUGUCUGCGAAAUCUCGCAAACACCAUUUUUCACCUGCGAAAUGUUCCUGGAGCUUCCCGAUAUUUUUGCACCGACUCUUUUGGAUAUUUUUCUUCAGAUAUGUUUGUAUAAUUUCCAUUUUCUCCUUGUAUUCAACCACUCAUGUAAUUCCUUAGCUAGGAAGUAUCCAAGGAGGGGUAAAUUACCUUCCUAUAUAAACUCUCUUGUAAACACUCUCAGGAGACGCUCGGGGAAGUAUGUAAUAUAUAGAUAUAUCAUAUAUAGAAUCAAGGAACAGAGCACUUGCUCUGUUUUUCAUAUAUAUUUCUGCCUUCUCUUUCAUUUUUCAUUUCUUUUUAUUUCUAGCCAACCAAACUUUGAGGAUUUUUCCUCAGAGGAUGAGAGGCUAAGCUUUUUGUCUCUUGGAGUGAGGAAAGCCGGGUAAGUUUCCACAUGCAUAAUUUGGAAGUUUUGUUGUUUUAGUUUUUAAUGAAGAGAAAGUGUGACCCGUUAGUGAUUUCUAUGUUUUUAGUUAACUUAAAACGCCUUUAAAUCACCUGGGCCAACACUUGGUAAGGCAAGUGAUCUCCGUCCAUGGAGAUUCACUAGUUUAUCUCUUGCGAGCCUUUGUGAGGUGACUUGAAGGUAGGAUUUUCUAGAAUAGCCAACACUUGGUAAGCUUUUGGACUCCAAGGAGACAUCCAUUAGUUAUCUCUUGCGAGCUUUUGAAGGGAAGUCCAAGGUUAAAGAUCAUCUUGAAUGGUAAGUGCUCGUGAGAGGCAUGAACCAUUGCAAGUUGCAUCAGUGAGAGGGAUUUAGUGUUUGAACCCAUUAAUGGAAAGCAUCUGUACAACACCGGUUGGAGAAGGAACUAUAUGUUAAUUCUCUAAUGCGAGGAAAAGAAACAAGUGACCGGAACUCUCCUUUUUGUAUGAGGAACCUGAGCCUAGUGAUCUGAACUCCAAGAAACACUUUUCUUUGUAAGUAAAAUCAGUUACUAUUUUUGGUUAGUUUAAAACCAAACCUUUUUUUCAUUCAAACAUCUUUAUGUUUUCUUUUAAAGCUAACCUUAAAAUGAAAAGGCACCAAUUCAGCUUUGAAUUAAUAUCAUUUGCAAAGUGAAAACCCAUCCCAGUGAACGAUCCUAGAGCCACUAUACUAUAGUAGCUUUGUCUUUGCUACCCUAGUAUAUGGUGUAAUAGGUUAUAAAUUUUGUUGAUUACUCCCUCAAUCAAGGAGCACCAGCUGGACAUGAAUCAGCUGAGACACCAAUUGGGCACGAAUCAAAUGGCGCCGUUGCUGGGGAUCGAACCCCGAAUCAGAUGGUGCCAUUGCCACUGCCGCUGCUAGGGACGAAUCAAAUGGCGCCGUUGCCGGGGGUCGAACCCCGAAUCAGAUGGUGCCAUUGCCACUGCCGCUGCUAGGGACGAAUCAAAUGGCGCCGUUGCCAGGGAUCGAACCCCGAAUUAGAUGGUGCCAUUGCCACUGCCGCUGCUAGGGACGAAUCAAAUGGCGCCGUUGCCGGGGAUGGUGCCACUUUACAGUGAUAUCACCUUUUCAGAGUACUUGUGAUCUUCAUCACAAGUUUGGUGACUUUUCUUUUCCUUUUACUAACUCUUUUUAUUUCUUUAUUGUUCAUAUUUUAGUAUACCUUUUAUUUAGUUUUUAGUUUACCUUAAUUUUCUUUCUUUGAAUUGUUUUUCUUUUGUUUUCUUUUGUGUUCUCUGUUUUUAAUUCACAAAUUGCUAGUUGUGCAUGCCAUAUUGAAUACGAGAUAGCAGAGGAAGCCAUGAACUUCAUGAGUUAUGUGGCUGAAGUCUCAAGAGGAUGGGAUGAACCAAAUGCUAGAGAUAUGGAAAGAAUGAUGUCUCAACCUAAAGCUAAGGGUGAGAUGUAUAUUUUGAAUGAUGGUAUGAACAUGAAGGCAGAGAUUGCAGCUAUGGAAAGGAGAUUGGAUGAGCUAGAAAUGAACCAGAUGCAAGAAGUGCAAGCCAUCUCUCAAACACCAUUGCAAGCUAUGCCUUGUGCCAUUUGUCUAUCAUAUGAGCACUUGGUGGAUGAGUGUCCUACCAUUCCAGCCGAGAAGGAAAUGUUAGGUGAUUGCAACACCUACAAUUCCAAUUGGAGGGACCAUCCAAAUUUCUCUUGGAAACCACAGCCACCUCAGUAUCAGCAACCUGCUCAAGCACCACAGCAAGCCUCAAACCUUGAACAAGUUAUGGUGAAUCUUUGCAAGGUAAUGGGAGAUUUUAUUGGAAAGCAAGAAGCCACCAAUGCUCGACUUGAUCAAAGGAUGGAUGGAAUGCAAAAUGAUAUGAAUCAAAAAUUUGAUAACAUCCAGUAUUCAAUCUCCAGGCUCAUAAAUUUGAACACAGUGCAAGAGAAAGAAAACUCUCCUUCUCAACCUUAUCAAAAUUCCAUGAGUAUCCAUGAAGUGGAGGCUCAAGAGGGAGAAUCUUCAAUGGUGAAGGAAGUUGAAGAGGUUAUCACUCUGAGGAGUGGUAAAGAGGUUGAUCUGCCCACAUGCAAGCUAGAGCAUAAGGUAGAGAGUGAAACAGAGAAAGAAAAGAGGGAGGAAAUCAAAGGAAAGAAAAAGGGGAAAAACAUAGAAAAAGAUGGCUAUGAUGUUAAUGUACAUAGAAAAUCACAGAGGAUAGUCAUCAAGGAAGAAAUGAUGAAACACAUGCCUCCGCCUUUUCUCCAAGCUUUGUAUGGCAAAAUCAUACAGAUCACAUCUCAAGUGAGGGAUGCAAACUUCAUAUGGGAUCCGGGCAAGCUAAAUCAGGAGCAAAUUUUUUGAUGGACUUAGUCUUUCUAAAGACUAGCUAGUCCAUAUCUUUUUGUUUUGUUAAUUUCUUGUUUUAAUUUUGAUUUCAAUGCUUUAAUUUUGAUUUCAAUGCUUUAAUUCUAGUUUGUUUUGAUGUAAUAUAGGUUUUUGGAUGAUCAAAAUCAAGAGGAAUUGCAAAGAAAUUGAAGGAAGUCUUUCGGAGAAAAAUCAGAGCAAAAUCGGAGUCAAACGGAGCGAAAACAGAGAAAAAAACAGGGGAAAAACAGGGGUCUGCGAAAUUUCGCAGCCUCUGCGAAAUCGGCACUUUGUUGUGAAACCAGUUCGCAGCCCAAUUGCCCUCUCUGUGAAAUUUUCGCAGCUGCGAAACCAUUUUUGGCACACAAGUGCCACUUCGCAACACAGGAGCCCUCAUUUCGCAGUUGCGAAAGCGGCUGCGAACCACCAAAGCAUGAAAUCCUCCAUUUCGCAGGGAAAGCUCCAUUUGGAAGGGUGUUUCGCAGCUGCGAAGCCAACUUUUGGCACACGAGUGCCAUUUCGCAGCACAGUACCCUCAUUUCGCAGCUGCGAAAAUGACUGCGAAACCCAAAAAAAAAAAAAAAAAAUCAUUUUUUUUGGCAACAAAAGUCCCAUUCCGUAGAGGAUUUCGCGGUUGCGAAAGCACUUUUGGCACACGAGUGCCAUUUCGCAGCACAGUGACCCUCAUUUCGCAGCUGCGAAACGGCUGCGAAGUUCCAAAACGUGAAAAAUCCCAAUUUCACAGCCGCACCCCCAUUUCGGCAAUUGUUGGACACAUUUCGAUCACUUCCCGAAGUUCAAAUUGUGCAUGCAAUAUCUCGUUUCAAAUCUUAGGAAGUCACGAGUCCAUAGCUUCAAACGGUGCUCGAUUUGGAUUUGAAACGGAAAAGUUAUGGCUUUUUGAAGAUGACUGUGCAAACCAUGAGCGGAAAUGUUGCAGCUCCAUUUUGCUACUGUUGGACACAUUUUUGAAGCACUUCCUGGGGAUCAAAUUAUGCAUACGAUAUCUCGUUUCAGAGCUUGGGAAGUCAGGGGUCCAGCGCUUCAAACGGUAUGCGAUUUGGAGGUGAAAUGAAGAAGUUAUGGUCGUUUGAAGACAAGCGCGCAAAGCUGAGCGAGAAUUUUGCAGCCGAGACGCCAUUUGGAAGGGUGUUUCGCAGCUGCGAAACCACUUUUUGGCACACGAGUGCCAUUUGCAGCACAGUUCUCCUCAUUUUGAAGUUGCGAUACACCUGCGAAAUCACUUUUGAGCUACGAAAUGGCUAUGAAAUGAUUUUCAAGCUGCGAAAUGACUAUGAAAUGAUCUCCAAACUUUGAAAUGGCUGCAAAAUCACCUCCAAGCUUAGAAAUGACCUUCAAAUUGCGAAAUUGACUUGUGAAAUGGAGGGUGAUUUACAAAAACACCUUGCAAAGCCAAGGGAAGUUGCUAAAAUGCCAAUAGAGCCCUGCAACCAUGCAUCUGAAGAGGAGAGCCCCGAGCACCUUGAGAUCACACACACAAAGCCUCUCACUCCAUUUCUAACCUCCUAAAACCAUCAAAUCCCAUAGCUCUAGCUGAGAGCUCCAGUUGAGGAGACUAUGCCACCUAAGGAGACUACCAGAAUAGAGGCCAAAGUUCUGAUCCAACCCACUCAAGAGGCCACCACAGACACAUCAGCUCCAUAGGACCCUACCAUUACUUGAUCAUCUUUUUACUUUUUGUCUUUACAUAUUAUAUUAGUAUACAUAGCUCCAUGUUUUGAUGUCUUAUAUUCUGGGAUUGGAUGUAUUACUGAUGAUGCAUCAUAUAUAGACAUCAUUUUUGUAUAAACUUGGCAUUUUUCUAUUUCCUCUACUCACUAACUCUUAUGUUUUCUUUGAAACAUGUGGUUUCUCCUAUACGACUCAGACUCCAUGUUACUCAAGAGGUACCACUUCCUCCCUAUUUUUCAAUCGCUUUUGUCACAUUGAGGACAAUGUUCAGCUUGGUUGGGGGGAGAGUUGAGGAAGUAAGUAUUGUUAAUAAUGCUAAGUUAUUUUGGUAAUUUAGUUGCUUUUUGCUUAAUUUUUAAAAAAUUUUGCUUUAAACUCCAUGGAUAUUAAGGAUUAACUCUCAAAAUUAAAUGAGAGAAGUCGAGUUUCAACUUGAUUACAUGAAUCUUAGAGUUUGUAUUAUGCUUUUCUAAAAGUUGAUGAAUUGUUGAAACUCCAAUUGCAUGCAAACUUAUCUCUUCCACCUUAAGCUAUUCGCACACACAUACAUUAGAUUCCGGUUAUAAGAUGUGAAACUAUCUCACCCUCUAAGCUUGAGAAAUCAUAAUUUGACACCUUUAACCUAUCUUUAAUAGUGUUGGGACACCUCAUAAAGACCAAUGAGUCUUUGGAAAAAAAAAAAAUAGAAUAAACUUCUUUACUUGCCUUGAAACCUGAGCAUGGUCCGAAGGGGUGGCGAAAGCCUUUAAAGCCUGGUGCCCUAAGCCUUUAUUGGUUGGGAGUCACUGAUCCUCUGCUUGUUACAUGGGUGAAUUGGUUAAGUUUAGUAAGUGAAAAGAAUUGUGAAUAAGAGGUGCGUUCCUAGCCUAUCAAGAGAUGGUUAAUUUUGCUAAGAUUAAAGAAAGACUUAGGUUGGGGGGAGAUGAUAUUUAUCCAUACUAUACUCGGAAGCUAAUCAUAUUAACACUUAGCUUUUAAUGGAAGAAUUUGAUUUGGAUCUUUUGAGAGUGGAAAUUCUUUUGAUGCUUAAACUUGCAUAAUAUCCAUUCUUUGUACUCUAUGAUCAAGUGAAUGCUUUGACAACUCUUAUUAUAGGUUGAGUUUCACAUCUUUAUUGAUCCAUGGAUGUCCGUCAUGCCACUCAAUUAUUUUUUAGAGUGAUUUGCAUGAUCCCUUUUAUGUAUAUUAUUAUAGUUUACUUAGUUUUUAUCUCCUCCAUUGCUAAGGGACUAGCAAUGAGUCGGUUGGGGGGUGUGAUUACUACCAAAAAGUGCUAUUUUGUAGACCUAAUUAUAAUGGUUUUAAGCACCUUUGAGUAGUAAUCAUAUUCAUUUAACCCAAUUAAUUCAUUAAGGUCCUUAGUAAUUGGUUUUAACCAUUUUGUGGCAAAUUUACAUGUUUUUAUCAGCUUAUGAAUCAAUUCAAGCAUGCCAAAUGAUGGAGGAGCUACUUGGACAAGUUAUGGAAAAGCUUUUGGAAGCUCAAAUUCAUGAAGAACCAAGCUUUGGAGCUCCAUAGCCCUUUGCCAAAGUCGUUCAAAGUAUGCAAGGAAAGAGCAAGGAGAGAGGAAAAACAGAGUGAAGAAAACAGAGGAAAGCCAGUUGCAGUCUUCUUGUGCACUUUUGGAGCACUUCCCAAGUCCAUUUUCUACAUUCUAUAUACCAUUUGAAAGCUCAGGAAGUCAAGAAUCCAAUGCUUCAAACGGUGCACGAUUCGGAGUUGAAACGAAGAAGUUACAGCCACUACAAGUCAAUCACUCUAAAGUGUUGCGAAAUCAGCCUUUUGUUGCGAGAAUUUCGCAGCCUUUUUGUACAGUGCUAUGGAAUUCCUCCUGAAGCUACCCGAUACAUGCCGCAAGCUGGAACGCUGAGAACCUCAAGGUGGAAUCCAACUUCGCAGCGGGGCGAGUUUAACUUGUUGUUGCGAAAAUAUUUCGCAGCCCUCUUGAGUGUCUGCGAAAUCUCGCAAACACCAUUUUUCACCUGCGAAAUGUUCCUGGAGCUUCCCGAUAUUUUUGCACCAACUCUUUUGGAUAUUUUUCUUCAGAUAUUUUUGUAUAAUUUCCAUUUUCUCCUUGUAUUCAACCACUCAUGUAAUUCCUUAGCUAGGAAGUAUCCAAUGAGGGGUAAAUUACCUUCCUAUAUAAACUCUCUUGUAAACACUCUCAGGAGACGCUCGGGGAAGUAUGUAAUAUAUAGAUAUAUCAUAUAUAGAAUCAAGGAACAGAGCACUUGCUCUGUUUUUCAUAUAUAUUCCUGCCUUCUCUUUCAUUUUUCAUUUCUUUUUAUUUCUAGCCAACCAAACUUUGAGGAUUUUUCCUCAGAGGAUGAGAGGCUAAGCUUUUUGUCUCUUGGAGUGAGGAAAGCCGGGUAAGUUUCCACAUGCAUAAUUUGGAAGUUUUGUUGUUUUAGUUUUUAAUGAAGAGAAAGUGUGACCCGUUAGUGAUUUCUAUGUUUUUAGUUAACUUAAAACGCCUUUAAAUCACCUGGGCCAACACUUGGUAAGGCAAGUGAUCUCCGUCCAUGGAGAUUCACUAGUUUAUCUCUUGCGAGCCUUUGGGAGGUGACUUGAAGGUAGGAUUUUCUAGAAUAGCCAACACUUGGUAAGUUUUUGGACUCCAAGGAGACAUCCAUUAGUUAUCUCUUGCGAGCUUUUGAAGGGAAGUCCAAGGUUAAAGAUCAUCUUGAAUGGUAAGUGCUCGUGAGAGGCAUGAACCAUUGCAAGUUGCAUCAGUGAGAGGGAUUUAGUGUUUGAACCCAUUAAUGGAAAGCAUCUGUACAACACCGGUUGGAGAAGGAACUAUAUGUUAAUUCUCUAAUGCGAGGAAAAGAAACAAGUGACCGAAACUCUCCUUUUUGUAUGAGGAACCUGAGCCUAGUGAUCUGAACUCCAAGAAACACUUUUCUUUGUAAGUAAAAUCAGUUACUAUUUUUGGUUAGUUUAAAACCAAACCUUUUUUUCAUUCAAACAUCUUUAUGUUUUCUUUUAAAGCUAACCUUGAAAUGAAAAGGCACCAAUUCAGCUUUGAAUUAAUAUCAUUUGCAAAGUGAAAACCCAUCCCAGUGAACGAUCCUAGAGCCACUAUACUAUAGUAGCUUUGUCUUUGCUACCCUAGUAUAUGGUGUAAUAGGUUAUAAAUUUUGUUGAUUACUCCCUCAAUCAAGGAGCACCAGCUGGACAUGAAUCAGCUGAGACACCAAUUGGGCACGAAUCAAAUGGCGCCGUUACUGGGGAUCGAACCCCGAAUCAGAUGGUGCCAUUGCCACUGCCGCUGCUAGGGACGAAUCAAUCCUUCGGUGGUUUCUCCUCUUAUUUUCAAACAGGUCACGAGUUGGGUUUUUUCUUCAUCAUCUUCUUUGAUCUUCUAGGUUAAAAGUUCCAAUUUCAUAAUUGGGUGUUUGCUUUUGAAAAGGGAAUUUCUGAUUUUUAUUUUUUAUCUCAAAAAUGUUCUUAUAUGUUAUUGUGAUUGGGAAGAAAAUGAAAAGGUUUGAAAAAAAAUUUGUAACCUAACCAAGUCACGGUCAACUGUGGGUGGGGGAAGAACGUUCUAGAAGAACGAAGAAGAAAGGGAAGACAUCAUUUUGGAAGCCAAGGAAAAAAGUUCAUUUGAACCAUUCGAUUCGUUAAAAACUGGUCGGAUCAGCCUGUCCGUUGGUUCCGACGGUUUGAUAGCGGUUCAAAGGUUGACCGAUUCAAAUGGAUGAACCGAACAAGACUGAUGACUAGUCGAAUCAGCCAGUUUAAACCGGUUUUUAAAACGUUGGUUUAAUGUACUAUCUUUUUGUGAACAUUUGAUAUACAAAUAUUAUUGCAUGGUGUAAUGUAUUACAAAUUAAUUCAUAAGCAUUACAAAAAUAUAAGUUAAAUAUGAUAUAAUUAUUAUAUUCAUGGACAAAAUAUACACUGGUUGAUCUUAUUUCUUAAUAAACAUUACAAAAAUUUACAAAUUAAUCAAUAAAAAAAAACAACCAUAUCUUCUAUAAUCAUUUACAAUGAUGUGACACCAUAACUCAAAUGUAAUACAUUUAACGUGAUACCAUAACCCAAAGGUGAUGCAUUUAAUAGGACACCCUAUAUAUCUCACAUAACUCCAUAUCAAAUUAAGCAUCACUAUAAAUAUACAAUGUCGCUCCUGAAUAUGUCACCAUUUAUCUAUUUUGGUGUCACUUCCAAAUACAUCACCAAUUGGUACCCUUUAUGGUGUUAAUGGAUAAGAUGACACUCUACGUUGAGCCUUAAUAUGAGAUUAUCAUUGGCCUACUAAGCAUUCCCAGAACUCUCAAGAAAUGAAUUUGUAUUCAAGGUAGUUAGAGGUGGUUACUCGUAUCCUCUCAAGAAAUUGAGAUGUCUACCAAGGAGCACAAGGUGCUAAGUCACCAUUGUAAAAACAAAGUACAGAUAUUGGUCCGUGCAAGUUUCUUGGGAGAAGGUAGCAUGUAGUUGGAGUAAACCUUUAUAUUUGAUUUUCAUAUUUAAUAGAAUCGUUAUGCAAUCAAUAAAACCAUGGUUCUUACAUUUGUAGGUUUUGUGUGAGAUUAUGUAGAUGAUUUUUCAUGUAAAUCGCUAAUAUUGUGAUAUAAUUGAAUUUUUAUUCAUAUCCCUAGAUAUUUUGAAUUGGUCAAAAAAGUAAAAAAUAAAAUUUAUUUAAAUUUUGAAUUUUAGGCUUUAAACUCAACACCAUUAACCCUAUAUAUAGAUACAUAGUUUCACAAACCAAGUUAAAGACUUUCAAAUCAAAUCCAGGGAAUCAGAAGAUGAAAGUUUCUCAAAUCACAAUGUGAGAAUUAUCUUAUUAAAACUCAAAGAAAAUUAGUGGCUCACAAAAAAAAUGUAAUUUCAUUCAAUAUCAUUCUUUACAACAAUGAAUAAAGAACCAUAACUCACAAUUUGUAGUAAGGUACAAUGAAACAAAUGUAGCUAUUACACGACACAAUGAAACCAAGUGUUUAGGCUUUUAGGGAUCAUUACCAUAUUCCCCCACCAAUUUGAUUUUCCUCCUACGAGGAAUUCAAAUUAGCUAGAUAUAGCACCAUUUCUAUGGAAGG
RNAcentral lists this long non-coding RNA (12190 nucleotides) under Vitis vinifera (wine grape). RNAcentral describes it as "long non-coding RNA (VVIN_LNC001893)". The record is from RNAcentral. Lineage: Eukaryota; Viridiplantae; Streptophyta; Magnoliopsida; Vitales; Vitaceae.